GACGAACGCUGGCGGCGUGCUUAACACAUGCAAGUCGAACGGAAAGGCCCUGCUUGCAGGGUACUCGAGUGGCGAACGGGUGAGUAACACGUGGGUGAUCUGCCCUGCACUUCGGGAUAAGCCUGGGAAACUGGGUCUAAUACCGGAUAGGAGCCAUUUUUAGUGUGAUGGUUGGAAAGUUUUUUCGGUGUAGGAUGAGCUCGCGGCCUAUCAGCUUGUUGGUGGGGUAAUGGCCUACCAAGGCGGCGACGGGUAGCCGGCCUGAGAGGGGGGACGGCCACAUUGGGACUGAGAUACGGCCCAGACUCCUACGGGAGGCAGCAGUGGGGAAUAUUGCACAAUGGGCGCAAGCCUGAUGCAGCGACGCCGCGGGGGGGAGGACGGCCUUCGGGUUGUAAACUCCUUUCGCUAGGGACGAAGCUUUGUGUGACGGUACCUAGAUAAGAAGCACCGGCUAACUACGUG
RNAcentral lists this ribosomal RNA (465 nucleotides) under uncultured bacterium. RNAcentral describes it as "partial 16S ribosomal RNA". It matches the Rfam family "Bacterial small subunit ribosomal RNA", at positions 28 to 507 of the family's 1533-position model. The record is from RNAcentral.